GGGGGCGACCUGGCUUCGACGUGGGUUGCAGAACCUGAGGAGCAUGUCGAGCUUCAGUAUCUCGUAAAUCUGCUGAAAAACAAUAAACGCUGAAAAUAAACCUUUAGCUCUAGCAGCCUAACUGCCGCUAGCUUCACUCAGAGUAGGCUUAUAUGCUUUGUACUGAAGUCAUUAUGAUAAGACCGCAAUACAUAUUCUUGCCAUUGUAUUGUUAAAUCUAAGCAAGAUAGCUAUUAAGUAGAUUGUUUGUUGUCAGCUUAAUGGUUAAAUUAAAAACAAACUAAACAUGUAGUGCCAAUGGCUAAGUGCUUUCGGACGCGGGUUCGAUUCCCGCCGCCUCCACCA
RNAcentral lists this transfer-messenger RNA (345 nucleotides) under Gammaproteobacteria (g-proteobacteria). RNAcentral describes it as "GCA-2718845 sp002718845 Standard tmRNA". It matches the Rfam family "transfer-messenger RNA". Rfam says of the family: Bacterial tmRNA, also known as 10Sa RNA or SsrA, is named for its dual tRNA and mRNA-like properties. RNAcentral also lists the same sequence under 2 other names. The record is from RNAcentral. Lineage: Bacteria; Pseudomonadati; Pseudomonadota.